GAUGAAGAACGCAGCGAAAUGCGAUACGUAAUGUGAAUUGCAAAUUCAGUGAAUCAUCGAGUCUUUGAACGCACAUUGCGCCCCCUGGUAUUCCGGGGGGCAUGCCUGUCCGAGCGUCAUUGCUGCCCUCAAGCACGGCUUGUGUGUUGGGCCCCCGCCCCCCGGCUUCGGGGGGCGGGCCCGAAAGGCAGCGGCGGCACCGCGUCCGGUCCUCGAGCGUAUGGGGCUUCGUCACCCGCUCUGUAGGCCCGGCCGGCGCCCGCCGGCGACCCCAAUCAAUCUUUCCAGGUUGACCUCGGAUCAGGUAGGGAUACCCGCUGAACUUAAGCAUAUCAAUAAGCGGAGGA
This 347-nucleotide unclassified non-coding RNA is filed under the name soil metagenome. RNAcentral describes it as "partial contains 5.8S ribosomal RNA, internal transcribed spacer 2, and large subunit ribosomal RNA". The stretch from base 1 to 119 matches the Rfam family "5.8S ribosomal RNA", at positions 35 to 154 of the family's 154-position model. The record is from RNAcentral.